AGGCGGGGCCGCGGCGCCCCCUCCGCCUGCCCCCCACCGCCAGCCCGCGCCGCGCCGCGCCGCGCCGGGGGGGAGGAGGAGGAGCGAGGGGCGCCCACCAAGUGCCCGCGCCCAGCGCCGGGGGUCCCUCAGGCUCAGCCCCGUCUGCCUGCCCCAGCGCCUUCGCUCCCCCCAGGGUGUGAACUGAGGGGGCUGAGUUCCCCGUAAGAGACGAGAGCCCCCCCUACAGCCUCCCGGGAGUCAAAGUGUAACUUGAGCACUGCUCCCCUCACAGCUUGGCCUCUCCGGUCAGCCCCGGACCUAGACAGCUUGCAAACUUCUAGUAUCAGCCCGUGUUUGCCAGAGGAGAGAGGGUGUUGGAUCUCAGGUUCCAGAAUUGCUUCCCUGUUGCUGUGCAGUGAGUGAGUGGAAUGGUCUACACAGAUGGGAGGUCUGGACAUUACUCAGACUGUUGGCAUUGUUGCAUCAUGCAUAGCCCCUUGCCAAAACAAACAAGGCUGCAAAGCUCAGAAGAGUAAAUGAAAUCUCCUCUCUCUACCUCCUCAAUGAUCUCCUCCCCAAGGCCCAGUUUGGGAAUACUUAUGUGAGUAAAUGUGUAGGCUUGGUCCUAAACUGUUUUUAUUUGCAGCAUUCUUGCUAUGUAUUUUGUAAUCAUGUGAGCAAAAGUGGCUUCAUUUAAAAAAAAGAAAAGAAAAGCCUGUACAUUAACUCACAAUAUGUUGGAAACACUACUGAUGUUAAAGGAAAAUCUGUUCAGUGCCUUAAGGAUUGCAAAUUAAGCACCCAAUCUUGCUUUCACUUAAGGCUAUGGCAUUGCUUUCACUGUAAGUAGAAAAUAGGCCCUAUACGUAGUCUAUAGAUGCUUAAAAUAACAUUACAUGAUACUCUGCAAGCACCCCAAACGCAUUUGUUAAAAAUCAACUUUAUAAAGAAGAGUUUAAGAUGUUUACCCUUAGUGAACAAGAUUAGUGUGCCCAUAGUCACUUUUAUGAAAGAACUAAACAUAAAAAAUUCCAUAAAUCAUCUUUUGUAAGGAAAAAAUGGGGAAAAAAUCUACAUAGAAGAAAAGGUUUUGUUUCAAUUACUAACAGAACCCAAUUAUGAAAAUAAAAAACAAGUGAGGAGACCUUUGUAAACUUAUAAAGAUGUGAAGAUAUCAAUGUGAAAAACAACAGUUUUAAGUCCAGAAUGACAGACUUAUUAGAAACUUAUUCAAAAGCUAUAUCACAAAAUGUUUGAAAAUAAUAACCUUUGAAAAAAAAUCCACUAAUUACAUUUUCUGGCAGCAGUCCAGGAUUUUAAAAAAAUAAUCUGAAAUUAACAAACCCUGCAAUUAUGUUUGUAGACAAUGGCCUUUUAUGUCUUUUUAAAUUGGAAGACAAAGAUAUUUUAACUCCAAAAAAUCCAUUAAAAUAACAUUAACAUGUAUAAUUAAAAUGGAUUCAUUCAGGUCCCAUUGAAGUUAAUAAGUAUUCUUUCUUUUGCAAAGCAUUUUCAGUACAUCACUUGAUAAGUGAACAUAAGCUUACAGACCAAAUUCUGUUCACUAUUCACAUGAGUAAUCCUAUUGCUAGGAGUCCUACUGAAGUCAGUGGAACUAUUUUCCUUUAAGGCAGGUUUUGAAUCUUAAACUCUGGUAACUCAGUGCCAGCAGACCUCAGUGGAGUCCCAUGUGUGUUCAUGGGUCCACUUGAAUGGAGUCAGUUUGCUAAAUGAGUUUUUAAAUUUGAAUAAAACCUCAAUGUGAUUUGCAUUUUUCCACUCCUAAGUAUUUCAGUCUAAACAUCAAAAUAUGCAAAAAUAAAAAAGAGACUGCUUGAUCUGUAUGAUUUGACCCUUUUUAAAGAAUCAAGCUGCCUACAUUUGGAGAGUGAGUAAUAAUGAAAAAUUUUAAAUAAGUUCUAGUUCAUAUUCUAUUGAUUUCAGUAGCAAAACUCACAGGUCAAAAUUUUCACGUGGGAUCACUAAGUUAGAGUGCCUUGCCUGUGAUGCCUUGUGCAUGAAUUUUAAAUGUGCUGAUCAUCCUUAAUUCUUAUUAUAAAUUAAGUUAAAAAAAUAAUAUUCAAAAGUAAAGACCCGAUCUUCUACAGAACAGUUGCCAUUGAUACCAAUAAGGACAAGCUGGGACCUUAAACUAUUUUACUUAUCCAGGGUCCAAACCUCCACGUAUAGCAGUGGCAGUCAACAGAAGCAGCAGCUUCAAAUAUUAAAAAGCAGGAAUCUUAUAUAUUUAUUAGAACUGCAAACGUAGAAAACAUCUACAUAUCAUUCCUUUGAUUUAUUUGUCACAAUAUUCCAGGGCAAUAAAUGUGUUUCAUUUAUUUCAAUAACCUCUAAAAUGAAACAAGAAAUGCUUUUUUCUUCAUUUCAUCAAUCAAAACUGAGAAAUAGCUUAUAGAGGUUCAAAGUGUAUCUUUUAUAGUUUUUGUUUUAAAAAAUGUGCAUCAACCCAAAUGUAUAUGCUAAUAAAUCAUAAUCUUUAAUUUAUCUACACCAAAUUAAUAUCUCUUCUUAUGGUACACUGAAAAGCUACAGACAUACAAUUUAUGUAUAACAAGUCAUUAUAUUACACUGAUUGUUUACUGAAAAUGAUAAAAAGACAAAAUUAC
Molecule: long non-coding RNA, 2609 nt
Organism: Alligator mississippiensis (American alligator)
Lineage: Eukaryota; Metazoa; Chordata; Crocodylia; Alligatoridae
Exons: 3
Source: RefSeq, a predicted model, not a curated record